RNAcentral lists this long non-coding RNA (635 nucleotides) under Mus spretus (western wild mouse). Its description in RNAcentral is "lncRNA (ENSMSPG00010015690.1)". Lineage: Eukaryota; Metazoa; Chordata; Mammalia; Rodentia; Muridae. The record is from RNAcentral.
AGAGAAUUUUGCCCGGGAGCGCACCUAUAGGUCCUUCUGAACGAAGUCUCCAGGGAGAGAAAAAGAUAGUUUUGUUCUUGGCAUCCUGGCCUGGAGCAUCUGAGAAACAGCAAGUUUUCCCCAGACAUCGGUUCUGUAUUUCCCAUCGGAGCGAGUCCAGCAAAGAGCAGCAUGUUAAGACAUUAACUGCCCAAGGCUGUUUCCUUGGACUUCUUUGUCUGUGAAAUGAAGCAAAACUACACUGCUUGGAUGGAGUGAGAAAAGGACGAGCUCAGUGAGAGCAAGUGACUUUCCCAACAUUAUGGAGAGAGGAGAUGCUAUUACUGGUACCGUCCUGGACCAAGGUCAGCACACUUGGCUGACUAAGCUCAGGAGGCAGUAAGCAGGCUCUGAAAAGCAGUUGGGGGCAGUGCAUGCAGUCUCUUCAUUGUCAAAACAACAGUAGGCUUCAUGCAGCCAAAUGAGUUCUCUUUAAUACCUUGAAAGGACCCUGGAAAAGCCUUGGGCCUGCGCAGAGUGACAAGGCCAGGAGAAAUCCUUCACCCUGUCCGUCUUUACUUAGCACCUCCCGUUUUGAUGUGAAGUUUCUAGGUUUUGUCAUGGCCACUGUGGUUGCUAUAGAAACAGAGCAACAA